RNAcentral lists this unclassified non-coding RNA (218 nucleotides) under Hevea brasiliensis (rubber tree). The record is from RNAcentral. Lineage: Eukaryota; Viridiplantae; Streptophyta; Magnoliopsida; Malpighiales; Euphorbiaceae.
AUGAUCUGCGACGGACGCUUGUAGGAUGUCAGUUGCUUGCUUGCGAAGGCCAUCAGUUCGGAAGGCGUCACGUUCGACCCCUUCAGCAGUUGAACGAACGCAACAACUUCUUCGUUGCCAUCGGCAGCGCGGCCCACCACUGCGGACUGCACAACAGCAUCGUGCGAACUAAGCACCGCUUCCACCUCGGAUGGAUAAACAUUGAAUCCCGAACGAAU